This 592-nucleotide long non-coding RNA is filed under the name Theobroma cacao (cacao). RNAcentral's name for it is "long non-coding RNA (TCAC_LNC002103)". Lineage: Eukaryota; Viridiplantae; Streptophyta; Magnoliopsida; Malvales; Malvaceae. The record is from RNAcentral.
GACACAAGUCGUUGUUAAAUGUUAGUGUCCAACACUUGUGCUCGUUGCAAUUUGUCUGGUAAGAAUAAGACUGAACUUUAAAAGGAAUCUAAGGCUGUAAAAGGUCUUAGAAAGUGAAAUUAUUGCAUUUCUAGUAAUGCCUUAAUGUUUCUUUAGAAAAUAUUCAUGCUUAUAAAGCUUUUUGUCCUAGCAAGUUGUGUGUUAGAUGUCGCUAGCCUGUUUUGACUGAUAAGAUCUUUUCCCCCCGUCCAAAAUUGGUGUAGUUCAUCUGAGCUGAUGCUUUCCAUUUGUAUAUAAUCUGUGGUCAUUUCCAUCUUCCAAAUGAUUCAUAAUACAUAUGUUUGACACCGUUAGUCGCAAAAGAUUAUCUUUUUGUUUUUCUGUGCCAUUUCCACCUCCACACCUUUUGGUGUUCUGAAGUUAAGUUUUUUAUGAUUAUUUGGUGAGGCAUAUUGCAUAUUCUCGCCUUCAAAAUCAAUCAAUUUGUCAAAUUUCUUUAGUGUUUCAGUUUUUGUUCUGAAUCUGUCCAUUAAUCAACCUUCUUAAAUCUAUUACUUGCAGAUAUUGUUUUUCUCACAUCAGUUUUAAGCAG